Molecule: long non-coding RNA, 3464 nt
Organism: Diachasmimorpha longicaudata
Lineage: Eukaryota; Metazoa; Arthropoda; Insecta; Hymenoptera; Braconidae
Exons: 4
Source: RefSeq, a predicted model, not a curated record
CCAGCAGGACAUGAUUUUGAAGUAGACAAUCCGUGACAAGUGAAACUUCCUUGAGUAUUCACACAAAAAUGAGUCUCACUGGGACAUGCUGUCUUUUCAGGAUCAGAACACUCAUCGAUAUCUGGAAAACUCAACUUUUCCUUCUCCUCACUGGUCAAACUGCAUCGAAAAUCCACGAGAUCAAUUGAAUACAUUAACAAUAAUGAGAUUAUCUGAUUACCUCUGCAUGUGUGAACCUCUUGAUCCCAUUGGUAACCAGGUGGACACGUUUCUUGUCCGGCAUCCUCGUGCUCCACGUAAUCCUUUGGUCCUAUUAUUAGGAGAGUAUUUCAACAAAUGCAUGAGCCACCUCUCUUCAUACUCCAGAGUUAAAGAAUCCUUGUCAUACCCACCGAUAUCUCGGUACCAUAAACUCAAUCAAUUGGCGCAGCAAAGCAUUCCACAGUGGACAUUGCAUAGACAACAAUUGAGACAGACUAGUCUGAGGGAUUAAUUACGUACCAUUGCAGAGAUUAGUGGAUGGGUUGUAACGAUAGCCCAGGGGACAGUGCAUUGAGGCUAGUGUUGGGGUGACUCCAGGCAUCGCCAGGGUUGUUGGUGACUGGGUGGACAUCGCUGAGGAAGAGGAGGAUUCGGUGAUGGAGCCAUCGGUGCGACAGGUUUUUUCGUCCUCGAGUAAGACGUACCCAGUGGGACAGGCGCAGGUGUACGAUCCUUUGGUGGGGACGCAUAUGUGGGAGCAUAGGAGACCCUUGAACAUCUGGCAUAAGUCGUCAGAACCUGGGGGAAUCGUUAAUUGUAUUAGUGAUAAUUAAUUGUUUUUCUAGGUAUAAAAUACUGAUGGUAAAAUACGAGAUUUAUGAGGUAAUUUACGGAAUUUUGAAAAUGUAAAUUACGGGUGAAAAAAGGAUUUAUGAUUUUGAAAUUACGGAGGACAAAUUGGAAAGUUCAUAAUUGUAAAUGUUUUAUUGGUUUAGUAGGCGUGUUUAGUAACAUUUUUGGUAUUCUCGUGGAAGAUUCUUGAAAAAAUGUCUAUGGAAAUUGGGGUCAGAUGAUUCUGAAUCAUCGGAAAUGAAGACAUUUCGUGUUGAUAAUAAAGUUUUUUUAUUGCAUUUGCGAUUUAAUUAAUCAAGAAUUUUAUGUGAUUAACACCCGGUCGGACCUCAUAUAUUACGUCCUAAACGGAAAUAAUUUACGUCUUCAAAGUUAUAAAUUACGGGUUAGAAAUCAGAAUUUACAUUUUCAAACUUUUAAUUUACGUUUUAUUAGACCUAAUUUACGUUUUCAAAAGUACGUUAAUUACGUUUUAAAUCUCGUAGUUUACGAUUAGUUUUUUUCAGUGUUUUUGUUGAAAGUUUGAAUUUAUUAAUUAAUCGUGGCAAAUUAAUCGUGAUUUAUGCUCUAUUGAAGGUAUUGAACUGUUUCUUAAUUUUUGUCGAUUUUUUGUGACAGUUCAUUUCGAAGAUAUGACUCGUUUCAGUUAUCGAAGUUGUAAUAGUUGACAGGAGAAAGGACACGAGAAAUCGAAACCUUGAUUAAGGAUUAUGGAUUAUUUCUUCCGUCAGCCAAGGUUUACCACAAAAAUGAUGAAUGCGAUCCUUCAAUCGUAGGUCAAUUGAAGAUUAUUGAACAGAUUUUGUGGAAGAGGUCAAUAAAUUCAUUUCUGAGGGAGUAACUGUCAACAUUUCUUCUUUUUCUCUUUUCACGAUCCUAUCAUUUUUCUACAACUCAUAUAUUGGGAAGAAAUAAAAAAAAAUAUUUACGAGGUGUUGAUGCAUUCCCUGCACUCGUAGAAGAGGAAUCCGAUUCCUGUGUAACCGAGAUUUCACCAGAAUCAGUCGAAUCAGUGGAGGUAGUCGAUGGAGUGGUUACCGUUGUCUUCACUGUACUUCCAGAAGUUGUGCUCUGGUCAUCAUUUGUCGUUGGUGACGAGGUGGUUGCCUUCUCACAGCAUUCUAAGAAGGCCGAGUCCCAGGGUUUGCCGAACCGAAAGGCUUUGAAAGCACAAUUUUGGCCCAGAGAUCCACUUAAAAUUCCUGAAAAAAAUCAGUAAUUACUAUGGAGAGCAUUACGUAAUGAGUAGAAAUAGUGGUUACAAUAAACAAUUAUCAGCAAAUCGUUCCGGGACUAGCUUACUUUAUCUCACAGUAUGAUAAGUAUUUCUUUUAUUUUCGGUGUUUCCACUUGAGAGUGGAAAACAUUUUUAUGAGAGAAAAUUCUAGGAAGUUUGGGGGUGAUGUGUGUGCUCUGUUUUCUGAAUGUAUACACAGGUGCAUCAGUGAGACCAUUGUUGAUGAGAGAGUCAUCAGGUCCAGAGUGUUGUAUCCCUUAGUCUUUUAGUUAGUUCCUUUAAGGGAGGAGCCUGCUUUAGAGACUUCAAAAAACCGAUUUUUUUUUUGCGUAAAUCACUUCCUAAACUAUCCAAAAAUAUGCCUCCAAAAUUUCAGAACAAAAUUCGGAUUAUUUCCGGAGAUACAGACGAAAUAGUGUGCAAGCGUCGAGCAGGUAUACGAGCAUCACGAAAACUUUGACACGCCAUUUCUCGGAUUUCCAUUUUUAUGAUUUUUUCAAAUUGUUGGACAAGGUAGGAAAAAAAUAAACGUCCUAUCGAAACGAAUCAAAAUGCGUUGAAUUUGGAAUUAAAUUCUCUUCCAGGUGAACCUAACAUAUCUUAAGAAAGUUAACAUUAAUCCGAUUUUUAAACGAUUUAAAGUAAAUUUUUUUUUAAUAAAAAUGCAUUUUUUUCAAUCUGCGAAAAAUUGUAGAAUUUUUCACUUUUUGUUGAAUUUUCGUGGUUAACCUGGGAAUUACACUAUUGAAAAUUAAACAUUUCUUUUGUUCUUUUGUUUCACAUGAAAAUUGCGACCUGCAUCUUGCCCACCACACAGAAAUUACACACUCGAGGCGCCUCCGUAAAUUUCUUCAAACAUGAAGAAUAUCUAAUGAAUAAUAAUAAAAAAAUUUGAGAAGACUCUUCAAAUAUAUAUUUCUUUCCUUUCCAAAAAAAUCCUUGAAAAUAUAGAUUUGAAGCCUCUAAAGCAGGCUCCCCCCUUAAGGGGUUAUUCUCAUGUGAUCACUUCAAAAAAUCGAUUUUUUUUAAAUAUUUUGACAGUAAAACCUAUUGAAAACAUACUGUGAAAAAUUCAGACCGAAAUUCAUAGUAUUUGAUAAGUUACAGCUCAUAGUCGCCGACGUGUCGUAAGCGAUUGUCUACCAGGCUUUCAACUUUAAACGCGUUUUUCUCGAAUCAUCAUUUUCUGAAACGGUCAAGGUCCUACAAGAAAAAUUCAGACAACAUGAACAGCCGCUAUCACCUUGACCAGUGAACUACCUUUUUUUGUUGGGGACUACUUUGACUUUAAAAAAAUAUAUGUUAAAAAUGUAAAAAACGAAAAAAAAAAAUUUUUUCGUAUAUUUCAAAAUACAAAUAAAAAUAUAUUGAAAAAUCAACAUGAUUGAAGUUU